RNAcentral lists this unclassified non-coding RNA (220 nucleotides) under plant metagenome. RNAcentral's name for it is "partial contains small subunit ribosomal RNA, internal transcribed spacer 1, and 5.8S ribosomal RNA". The record is from RNAcentral.
UUUCCGUAGGUGAACCUGCGGAAGGAUCAUUACAGAGUUCAUGCCCUCACGGGUAGAUCUCCCACCCUUGAAUAUUUAUACCUUAGUUGCUUUGGCAGGCCGUGGAAACACCAUGGGCUCCGGCUUAUGCGUGCCUGCCAGAGGAAACAAACUCUGUUUUUAGUGAUGCCUGAGUACUAUAUAAUAGUUAAAACUUUCAACAACGGAUCUCUUGGUUCUG